UCAAUGCUUUUGCCAUGAUUGGUUUGAAUUGUUCAUACUGCUUUGGAUUUUUGAAACCUUAACAACUUGAAUGUUACUUGAAAUCUCUUUGUACCAAAACGAAAUUUGUAACUUCAAACUUGAAUGCCAUUUGGAAUUUGGUCUUUGUAGCCAAUAUGAAUGCAACUUUGUAGUAGUUCCUGAAGAUGGCAAUUGUAUAAAUGUCUUCUGCCAGAGGAGUUGCAACGCUGCCCAUAUUCGAAGAUUGGUCGGGAAACCGGGUGCAAGUAUUGCCUUGGAACAGGUAUGUUUCGAAUCUUCACAGAUUGUCACUCUCUUGAUGUUAUCUACAUAGAUUAUCACUCUCCAUGUGUUCUUCUUAUCUAUUGCUUUUCCAUGAACUAAUUUUACAUUUACUCUUCUUGCACAUGUCAU
RNAcentral lists this long non-coding RNA (414 nucleotides) under Vicia faba (fava bean). The record is from RNAcentral. Lineage: Eukaryota; Viridiplantae; Streptophyta; Magnoliopsida; Fabales; Fabaceae.